ACUCCUACGGGUAGGCAGCAGUGGGGAAUAUUGCUCAAUGGGCGCAAGCCUGAAGCAGCGACGCCGCGUGAGGGAUGAAGGCCUUCGGGUUGUAAACCUCUUUCAGCUCCGAAGAAGCGAAAGUGACGGUAGGAGCAAAAGAAGCACCGGCUAACUACGUGCCAGCAGCCGCGGUAAUACGUAGGGUGCAAGCGUUGUCCGGAUUUAUUGGGCGUAAAGAGCUCGUAGGCGGUCUGUCGCGUCUGCUGUGAAAACUCGGGGCUUAACCCCGGGCCUGCAGUGGGUACGGGCAGACUAGAGUGCGGUAGGGGAGACUGGAAUUCCUGGUGUAGCGGUGAAAUGCGCAGAUAUCAGGAGGAACACCCGGUGGCGAAGGCGGGUCUCUGGGCCGUAACUGACGCUGAGGAGCGAAAGCAUGGGUAGCGAACAGGAUUAGAUACCCUGGUAGUCCAUGCCGUAAACGUUGGGCGCUAGGUGUGGGGCUCAUUCCACGAGUUCCGUGCCGCAGCAAACGCAUUAAGCGCCCCGCCUGGGGAGUACGGCCGCAAGGCUAAAACUCAAAGGAAUUGACGGGGCCCCGCACAAGCGGCGGAGCAUGCGGAUUAAUUCGAUGCAACGCGAAGAACCUUACCAAGGCUUGACAUGCAGGGAAAUCUCACAGAGAUGUGAGGUCCGCAAGGGUCCUGCGCAGGUGGUGCAUGGUUGUCGUCAGCUCGUGUCGUGAGAUGUUGGGUUAAGUCCCGCAACGAGCGCAACCCUCGUUCUAUGUUGCCAGCGGAUAAUGCCGGGGACUCAUAGGAGACUGCCGGGGUCAACUCGGAGGAAGGUGGGGAUGACGUCAAAUCAUCAUGCCCCUUAUGUCUUGGGCUUCACGCAUGCUACAAUGGCCAGUACAAAGGGCUGCGAGACCGUAAGGUGGAGCGAAUCCCAAAAAGCUGGUCUCAGUUCGGAUUGGGGUCUGCAACUCGACCCCAUGAAGUCGGAGUCGCUAGUAAUCGCAGAUCAGCAACGCUGCGGUGAAUACGUUCCCGGGGCU
This 1036-nucleotide ribosomal RNA is filed under the name uncultured bacterium. Its description in RNAcentral is "bacterial SSU rRNA". It matches the Rfam family "Bacterial small subunit ribosomal RNA", at positions 335 to 1381 of the family's 1533-position model. The record is from RNAcentral.